RNAcentral lists this ribosomal RNA (450 nucleotides) under uncultured bacterium. RNAcentral's name for it is "partial 16S ribosomal RNA". It matches the Rfam family "Bacterial small subunit ribosomal RNA", at positions 338 to 795 of the family's 1533-position model. The record is from RNAcentral.
CCUACGGGGGGCUGCAGUAAGGAAUAUUGGACAAUGGCCGCAAGGCUGAUCCAGCCAUGCCGCGUGCAGGAAGAAGGCCCUAUGGGUCGUAAACUGCUUUUGAACGGGAGAAAACCCUUGCUCGUGAGCGAGGCUGAUAGUACCGUUAGAAUAAGCAUCGGCUAACUUCGUGCCAGCCGCCGCGGUAAGACGAAGGAUGCAAGCGUUAUCCGGAUUCAUUGGGUUGUAAGGGGACGUGGGAGGCAGUGUAGAAAUCGGUGGGCUUAACCCACAAACUGCCAUUGAUACUGCAGGUCUAGAGUACAGUGGCCGUUGGCGGAAUAUGACAUGUAGUGGUGAAAUACUUAGAUAUGUCAUAGAACACCGAUUGCGAAGGCAGCUAACGAAGCUGUAACUGACGCUGAGGCGCGAAAGUGCGGGGAUCAAACAGGAUUAGAUACCCGGGUAGUC